Long non-coding RNA from Myotis davidii, 881 nucleotides. RefSeq lists it as uncharacterized. The transcript has 3 exons. NCBI's taxonomy places the organism in Eukaryota, Metazoa, Chordata, Mammalia, Chiroptera, Vespertilionidae. The record is from RefSeq and is a predicted model, not a curated record.
UGAGUUGUUUUUACUUGAUAAAUAUUUAUCGGGCAUCUCCCACGUAGAAGGCACAUGUGCAGGGCACGGAUGCAGAAGGAAGAGGGAGUAGCAUAAGGCCCCAGCAGCCCACGGCUCUCACUCUACCAGAGUCGACCAGCACCGAGAAUUAAAACAAGGCAGAAUGUGAGAAGUACUAUAAAACGGAAAAAAGCAAACAGGACGGGGAGUGAUUCCAAGUGGCGAGGCUGCGAAGGAUCUUGCGGAAGAUAAGAUUAGAGCAGGGUCCAGAAAGACAGGAUGCUGUAUGGGGCUUCCAGUCUGCAAUUACCCAGGAAGACUCAGUGAAAUGUAUCACCGAGAAACUGUGGUGUGCUUUCCGUACAAACAGGAAGUGCUAACUUCACACAGGAGACCUCUGUACCUUCUUGUGGACUGAAUGACUGUGCAGUGUGGACCCCGAAGGAAGGAGAGACUGCUGUGCUCUUAAAGUCUGUGAAGAGGUGGACCAGAGGCAGUGAGAGAGUAAAAUGAAGAACGCUGAACUGUCUAUAGGUCUUGGCAGUAUUUUGUUUGUUUUGUUUUGUUGUGUGUGUGUGUGUGUGUGUGUGUGUGUGCAUGUAUGUGUGUUUAAGGUAAGAAACAACAGUAACAUGUGAUUUUUUAAAAAGAAUGUACAGAGCUUGUCCUCAAAUCUCAAAACCUCCUUUACGUGGCUAUGGAGGAUGUCUAGCAGGGUUUCUCUUUUGUUGAGGUGGAAGCAGAGGUUAUUGGCAAGCACCCCGCUGUCUGGGAACUGGUCCCUUCCCACGUCUCUGACAAUAACCAGAGUACAUUCCUCAAGGAGGAGAAAACUUUGGGAGGGAGAUUUUCUUUUUGCCCAAUGUUGAUUUGGUGAUUAA